RNAcentral lists this ribosomal RNA (253 nucleotides) under uncultured bacterium. RNAcentral describes it as "partial 16S ribosomal RNA". It matches the Rfam family "Bacterial small subunit ribosomal RNA", at positions 524 to 776 of the family's 1533-position model. The record is from RNAcentral.
UACGGGGGGGGCAAGCGUUGUUCGGAAUUACUGGGUGUAAAGGGUUCGUAGGCGGUGUGGCAAGUCGGGAGUGAAAUCUCUGGGCUCAACCCAGAGACUGCUUCCGAAACUGCUGUGCUUGAGUGUGAGAGAGGCUCGUGGAAUUGCAGGUGUAGCGGUGAAAUGCGUAGAUAUCUGCAGGAACACCCGUGGCGAAAGCGGCGAGCUGGAUCACUACUGACGCUGAGGAACGAAAGCUAGGGGAGCAAACAGG